UGACCAACGGUCCUGAUUGAUGUAGAUACUUUCCAUAUGUUCAGUGCCAACACUUAUUGGACUUCUCCAAAGAAAGUUAAAUGUGCCAUUUUCCAGGAAAUUUCAAGGAAGAGAAAAGGGAAUCUCCCUCUCUCUAAAAGAAGAGAUUAUAAAUAGAGGGUGGAGGGCCGAAGCUUACUCAUUCAAUCCAUUAUUGGAAACAAAGGAAGAGAUCAUGAAUACAAAGGGUUGUAUGCUUCUUUGCAUUCUCCUCCUUUCCAUUCUUCUCAUCCCUAGUAAGAUAUCAGCAAGCCGGAUGCUCUACAAUUCCCAUGUAGAUCAACAGGAGGCCAGCCAUCAGGUGGAUGCAGUCCACGUCACACCCAUUCAUUAUGGCUAUCUUGAUCCGAAUAAACCUGUCAAUGGUGGUGGCGGACGCGGCUAUACUCGUCCAUGCACCAAAGUUUACCCUUGCCGACCACCCGGUCCUUAAUACAUAGAAUAUCAUAUAACUAUAUAUAUACAGACACAUGUUUAGGCUGUGUUUGGUUGCACCAAAUAUCAUGAAAUUAAAUAAUAUUUCAUGAUUAAUCAAGUCUAACUUGGUGAAAAAUAUCAUGAGAGUUAUGGUAUUUAGUGCAACCAAACUCAACUAUAAGCAAAUGGUUAUUAUAAUUACAUAAGUGAGUUAAUUAAAGGAGCUGGAUGGAUUAGUACGCUACUGAAGCAAUUGAGUUGUUGGUUUGAGGAUAUGGUGUGUUUUUAUAUUAGCAUGGUCCAUUUGUGUGAGCCCAAAUUCUAAGUUGUUUGGGCCUUCUAGGAGGGCUUUCGAUAGUAUUUAUAUGUUUUUCAAGAAUAUAGUUGUAUUUGAAUCUUGUGAGCA
Long non-coding RNA from Magnolia sinica, 862 nucleotides. RefSeq lists it as uncharacterized. Lineage: Eukaryota; Viridiplantae; Streptophyta; Magnoliopsida; Magnoliales; Magnoliaceae. The transcript has 2 exons. The record is from RefSeq and is a predicted model, not a curated record.